UACGUAGGGUGCAAGCGUUGUCCGGAAUUAUUGGGCGUAAAGAGCUCGUAGGCGGUUUGUCGCGUCUGCUGUGAAAACUCAGGGCUUAACCCUGAGCUUGCAGUGGGUACGGGCAGACUAGAGUGCGGUAGGGGAGACUGGAAUUCCUGGUGUAGCGGUGAAAUGCGUAGAUAUCUGGAGGAACACCGGUGGCGAAGGCGGCAUCCUGGACCAACACUGACACUGAUGAGCGAAAGCCAGGGGAGCAAACGGG
RNAcentral lists this ribosomal RNA (253 nucleotides) under uncultured bacterium. RNAcentral's name for it is "partial 16S ribosomal RNA". It matches the Rfam family "Bacterial small subunit ribosomal RNA", at positions 524 to 776 of the family's 1533-position model. The record is from RNAcentral.